UCCGCUUCCCACACAACUUCAACAUUUUUCUUCUCUUCUCAUCCUAUUUCUAUGUUUCUCUCAGUUUGAUCAUCAGUGAAAACCACAAGCACUGUGAUGAAGUCUUUUGGUUAUCAACUGCAUAUGGAAGGGAUCAUGGAGCAAAAUAGAAAGCCUUAGCCUCUUAGCAAGCUUGGUGACCUCCUUAGUAAAGACUGGUAUCUCAUGAGGAAGAACCAUGGAUGUGUUGUAGUAGAAGAAGAAGAAGAAAACUACGGCAGGUGGAAAGCCCAAAUAUGUUCAGAAUUUCAGAAUCCGAUAAACCGUACUAAAUCUGGUUAGGUUCUUCACGAAUGUAAUGUACACGUAACUGCUGUGGAUAACGUCCAGUUAAGUAUUUUGUGUAAACCAAGUGUAAGACUGUAAGUUAUUAGUUGUGUGUAAAUACACACAUAAGUAUUGUACACCCACGUCUAUGCUAACGGUUAGUAACGGUGUUACUAACAGGCUGUUAAAAACAGAGUGUAAACUCAGUGUUAUUUAAUUUUUAUUGA
Long non-coding RNA from Papaver somniferum (opium poppy), 533 nucleotides. RefSeq lists it as uncharacterized. The record is from RefSeq and is a predicted model, not a curated record. The transcript is spliced from 2 exons. NCBI's taxonomy places the organism in Eukaryota, Viridiplantae, Streptophyta, Magnoliopsida, Ranunculales, Papaveraceae.